RNAcentral lists this long non-coding RNA (401 nucleotides) under Panax ginseng (ginseng). Its description in RNAcentral is "long non-coding RNA (PGIN_LNC016497)". Lineage: Eukaryota; Viridiplantae; Streptophyta; Magnoliopsida; Apiales; Araliaceae. The record is from RNAcentral.
UUCCAUUCACAAAUAUACCAUACAGUCCCUACCAUAAUACUAAUACAAUUCCUGCCAAUUCGUAUCAACCAAUGCCAAUUCCCUCUGCAGUUCCCCCAUACAAUUUUUCCAACUAGACACAGAGUCCUCACACACCAAAAAAUUUCUCCUGCUUCCAAUGGAACGUAACCUUGGCAUCCUGUCUCAGAAAGAACCUCAUUCAAACAAAAUACAAGUUCUUUUUUACCUUUUUCCAUACCCAAGAUGGACUUCCCACAUUUUGAUGGCAGAGAUCCUAGAGGAUGGAUGAAGAAGUGUGAAAAAAAAUUUCAAUUGAAUCCCAUGUUGGACCCCAGAUCCAAAGUUCUAUAUGUUGCUCUGUAUCUAGAAGGGGAGGCUGAUGUGUGGUAUCAAUCCCUACA